RNAcentral lists this ribosomal RNA (253 nucleotides) under uncultured bacterium. RNAcentral describes it as "partial 16S ribosomal RNA". It matches the Rfam family "Bacterial small subunit ribosomal RNA", at positions 524 to 776 of the family's 1533-position model. The record is from RNAcentral.
UACGUAGGGGGCGAGCGUUGUCCGGAUUUACUGGGCGUAAAGCGCGUGUAGGCGGUCCCUUAAGUCCGGGGGGAAAGGCGGAGGCUCAACCUCCGAGCUGCGCCGGAAACUGGGGGUCUUGAAUGUCGGGGAGGGGCGUGGAAUUCCUGGUGUAGCGGUGAAAUGCGUAGAGAUCAGGAGGAACACCGGUGGCGAAGGCGGCGCCCUGGCCGAACAUUGACGCUGAGACGCGAAAGCGCGGGGAGCGAACGGG